Molecule: long non-coding RNA, 859 nt
Organism: Sinocyclocheilus grahami
Lineage: Eukaryota; Metazoa; Chordata; Actinopteri; Cypriniformes; Cyprinidae
Source: Ensembl
CUUCGGGUUGGCCACGGUGAACAACGAAGCAGUUCCUCACAGCGACCGGAUCAAAUAUAGAUACAAAUAUUCAGUAGCUAAUAACUCUUUAGUACCUUUAAGUUGUGUGUUUAGUAGCUGAUGCUGAAACGGCUGUGAGGGAGAGUAAAGACCCGCGUCAUCUGUCCAUCUUUUCCGUCUAAUGCUUAAUUUAUAAAUUGAAUUCAUCAGAGCAGCGCAUGGUUGGCCAGUGAUGGAGGAAAGUAAGACUGAUCAUGUAACUCCACCCACAACUCCAAACAAAGCCACGCCCUCUCCGCCAGUGUCCUAUGAACGGCCGAUGGCUUUGAGCAGCCCAGAAUUACUAAAAGAAUUGAAACAAGCGCAUGCGCUCAAACACGUCCCUGCACACACGGGACUGACCACAGUGUUCUGUGGACGAGGACGACAGAAUCAGGAGGCAGAGAGUCGGUCAAAAAACCUGCAUUGAAACGGCAGCAAUCACAGCGACUGUUCGGCGGUGAUUCCAGUUGCUCUGUCAUUGGCUGUUUGAGCUGUCUGUCAGUGAUUAGCCCCACCCCCUUGGUGAUGUGGGCGGGUGGAUUGCAUCUCUGUGAGCUGCUCUGGUUCUGAGGAUCUUCAGUGAACACGUCUGUCAUGUUUGUGUGCGAGUAUGAAAGCAGUCUGUCAAUCUGUAGCGCAUCUGAUGUUAAAACAGUGUGUGACUGUGUGUCAUAUCAAAUAUGAAAUAAAAAUCAAAACUGAGAUUGUGUGUGUGUGUGUGUGUGUGUGUGUGUGUGUGUGUUUGUGUGUCAGAAAUGAAGAGCUGACUUCUUUCAGUUUAUUAAGUGGCCAGUUGGAAUUUGAAUGGGAAUUAAUG